GUGCUGUCUUUGACAAUAUCUGUAGUAAAUUUUAAACCAUACAAGGAAGGUUAGCAUGGCUACUGCACAAAGAUAUCACACAAAUUUGUGAAAAUUGUUCUCUUUCU
RNAcentral lists this small nuclear RNA (107 nucleotides) under Carlito syrichta (Philippine tarsier). Lineage: Eukaryota; Metazoa; Chordata; Mammalia; Primates; Tarsiidae. The record is from RNAcentral.